This 2478-nucleotide ribosomal RNA is filed under the name Triticum aestivum (bread wheat). RNAcentral's name for it is "partial small subunit ribosomal RNA". The record is from RNAcentral. Lineage: Eukaryota; Viridiplantae; Streptophyta; Magnoliopsida; Poales; Poaceae.
AUGCUUGAUCUCAAUGAGUUGCCUCCAGAUCUCAAUGAGCUUCCUCAUGAUAUGGAUCAGCAGCAACCCAGCAUACAACAAAGAAACUGCACAGAAAAUGGUCGAUCUGUUUACUACACGCAGGCAAGUCGUGAUGGUAACCCUACGGGCCAUGACAAUGUGGCAGGCCAGUCAUCAGCCCGUGGUGCCCCUGUAAUGGUGUCUUUGCAGUCAGAGAGCCAUACUCUUGAUGACACAGGAACCGAGGCAAAUGUUCCUGGUCCAACCAGGACUGAGCUAGAAGCUGGGGCUUUUGACAGAGCUGUGCAAGUAGAAGAAGGAGAGGAUGAGGCUGGUUCUCAACCUAUGGAACCCUAUGUUGGCAUGAGAUUUGACAGCCUUCAAAUUGCUAAGGAUCACUACAACAGUUACGCACUACGGAUGGGUUUCUCUAUCAAGAUGAACACAUCUAGACGGACACCCCGCACCAAUGAAUUGAUAAAACAACAGUUUUGCUGCAACAAGUUCAAGAAGCCCAAAGCUGAUGAUGGAGGAGCUGAGGCUCCUCCUUACCUGGACCCUAUUCCGGAUCCAACAUCUGUUAACAGUGAUGACGAGAUGGAAAAAGAACCUUCAAUAUUUGCUGAAGAGGAUGCUGGUACUAGUAAGAAGAAGAAGCGCAAACGUGAGACAAUAAAGCAGACUGAAUGCAAGGCGAAAAUGUUGGUAAAGCUGAUAGAUGGGCGAUGGGAGGUGACGCACUUUGUUCGUGACCACAAUCAUCCGCUCGUGAACAAACCUUCAUUGUCCAAAUACUUGAGAUCCCACCAAGGCAUCUCACCUGAUGAAAAGGAGUUUCUGCGCAUCUUGUAUAACUGCAACUUGACUACAGGACGAAUGAUGCAUGUAAUGGCAGAGUUCUAUGGAUCUGAGAUGAUGGUGCCGUUCGGACCAAAGGCAAUAACAAAUCUUUGUACAAGUUUCCGUAGAGAUGACACAAAGGAGGGUGAUCUGAUUGAGACAAUUGCGCACUUCAAGGAUAUACAGAAAACCGAUCCAGACUUCUUCUAUAAGGUGAAAUAUGAUGAAGAGGACAGAGUUGUCAACAUAUUUUGGGUGAACGGCUUAGCUCGAAAAGCUUAUGCGGAGGCGUACCACGAUUGCAUAUCGUUUGACACCACCUACAUGACCAACUUGUACAAUAUGCCGUUCGCGUCCUUCAUAGGAAUAAACCGACAUGGCCAAUCUUUCAUGCUGGGUUGCGCGUUUGUGAGGCAGGAGUUGGCAUCGAGCUUUGAUUGGGUCUUUGGAGCAUUCCUAGAGGCUAUGGAUGGCAAACCUCCUGACAACUUCAUCACCGAUCAGGAUGGUGCGAUGAGGCAGUCAAUACAGAGCAUCUUUCCAAUCACCGUGCACCAUUGUUGUCGAUGGCACAUCAUGAAAAAGGCUCAGGAAAAGGUUGGUUGGUUGCUGUGCUGGAAUCCAGGACUCUCUGAUGAUUUCAACAAGUGUGUUGACUUCAGCUUCACUAUAGAUGAGUUUGAGCAGAAUUGGACUGGGUUAAUGAUGAAGUAUGAGGCUAUGGCACACACGCACUUUGAGAAGUUGUACGAAUACAGGUCAACUUGGGUGCCGUGCUACUUCAAACACAGGUUCUUUCCCUUCCUCCAGUCUACACAGCGUAGUGAGGGGUUCAACGCCGUCCUUAAAAGAUAUGUGAACCCACACAACUCAAUGUUGAAUUUCGUCAAGCAAUAUGAAAAAAUACAGAACCACAUCAUUGCCAAGGAAGGCUGCAAUGAUUACAGGACACAACACCUUGAGAUUGAGUUGUGGUCCAACUUCCCAAUAGAGAAGCAAGCUUACAAAACCUAUACUAGAGACCUUUACCGCAAGUUUAGAGAAGAGUUUGAGCUGAUUGGACGUUAUAAUGCAUUCCAAGUUGGUGCUGAUGUGUUUGAGCUCAGACCGAACCAGGAAUUUGUUGCGAAAUAUGGUUCUCGAAACUACUUGGUGCAGGCAAGGGUGGAGGAGCGUUUCUAUUUGUGUGAGUGUUGUAAAAUGGACAAGGACGGCAUCCUCUGUUGCCACAUCCUCAAGGUGUUCACCCAUGUUGGCGUUGAUGUCAUACCGGAAAGGUACCUGCUAAGACGGUGGACACCUACUGCUGUACCUAGUGCUCCAGGGACUGGUUAUGAGAAACCGGAUGAAAUGCCUCCUCAAUCAAAGAAGCAGAUAAGGGAGAGGAACAUGAUAUACGAUUUUUGGAAACUAGCAAAGUUUGCGAGUGGUUCUGAUCCAGCACAAGCUAUUGUAUACAAGCAUAUGCGUGCAGCACGUACCGAGAUCGGCCACCUGAACAAGUCCAAGAAAAGGAAAAAACCGACUGCUGCAACGGGGCCAUCAGAUGAUGGCAACCCUCGAGGACCUCCUCCACCUCUAGGCAGCAAUCAGGGGACUCAUCAUCCAGGUAAUUACCUGCCCCAACUCCUGAUCUAA